ACAGGAUUAGAUACCCUGGUAGUCCACGCCGUAAACGAUGUCGACUUGGAGGCUGUUCCCCUGAGGAGUGGCUUCCGGAGCUAACGCGUUAAGUCGACCGCCUGGGGAGUACGGCCGCAAGGUUAAAACUCAAAUGAAUUGACGGGGGCCCGCACAAGCGGUGGAGCAUGUGGUUUAAUUCGAUGCAACGCGAAGAACCUUACCUACUCUUGACAUCCAGAGAACUUUCCAGAGAUGGAUUGGUGCCUUCGGGAACUUUGAGACAGGUGCUGCAUGGCUGUCGUCAGCUCGUGUUGUGAAAUGUUGGGUUAAGUCCCGCAACGAGCGCAACCCUUAUCCUUUGUUGCCAGCGAUUCGGUCGGGAACUCAAAGGAGACUGCCGGUGAUAAACCGGAGGAAGGUGGGGAUGACGUCAAGUCAUCAUGGCCCUUACGAGUAGGGCUACACACGUGCUACAAUGGCGCAUACAAAGAGAAGCGACCUCGCGAGAGCAAGCGGACCUCAUAAAGUGCGUCGUAGUCCGGAUCGGAGUCUGCAACUCGACUCCGUGAAGUCGGAAUCGCUAGUAAUCGUGGAUCAGAAUGCCACGGUGAAUACGUUCCCGGGCCUUGUACACACCGCCCGUCACACCAUGGGAGUGGGUUGCAAAAGAAGUAGGUAGCUUAACCUUCGGGAGGGCGCUUACCACUUUGUGAUUCAUGACUGGGGUGAAGUCGUAACAA
Molecule: ribosomal RNA, 722 nt
Filed under: uncultured bacterium
Lineage: Bacteria
Description: bacterial SSU rRNA
Rfam family: Bacterial small subunit ribosomal RNA
Source: RNAcentral